AGCGAACGCUGGCGGCGUGCCUAACACAUGCAAGUCGAACGUGAAAGGGAGCAAUCCCAAGUAAAGUGGCGUACGGGUGAGUAACACGUAGGUAAUCUACCCCAGAAUCUGGAAUAACCGGCCGAAAGGCUGGCUAAUACCGGAUAGAGCGACGGAAUCCGUAAUUGGGUUUUUCGGGAAAGGGAGCCUGUAAAAAGGCCUUCGUUCUGGGAUGAGCCUGCGUCCCAUCAGCUAGUUGGUGAGGUAAAAGCUUACCAAGGCAAUGACGGGUAGCUGGUCUGAGAGGACGAUCAGCCACACUGGAACUGACACACGGUCCAGACUCCUACGGGAGGCAGCAGUGGGGAAUCUUGCGCAAUGGACGAAAGUCUGACGCAGCAACGCCGCGUGAGUGAAGAAGGCCUUCGGGUUGUAAAGCUCUGUCGAGUGGGACGAAAAUGCUUGGAGUUCACAGCUCCAGGAACUGACGGUACCACUAAAGGAAGCACCGGCUAACUCCGUG
Molecule: ribosomal RNA, 502 nt
Filed under: uncultured bacterium
Lineage: Bacteria
Description: partial 16S ribosomal RNA
Rfam family: Bacterial small subunit ribosomal RNA
Source: RNAcentral